CCUACGGGAGGCUGCAGUCGAGAAUCAUUCACAAUGGGGGAAACCCUGAUGGUGCGACGCCGCGUGGGGGAAUGAAGGUCUUCGGAUUGUAAACCCCUGUCAUGUGGGAGCAAAUUAAAAAGAUAGUACCCCAAGAGGAAGAGACGGCUAACUCUGUGCCAGCAGCCGCGGUAAUACAGAGGUCUCAAGCGUUGUUCGGAAUCACUGGGCGUAAAGCGUGCGUAGGCUGUUUCGUAAGUCGUGUGUGAAAGGCGCGGGCUCAACCCGCGGACGGCACAUGAUACUGGGAGACUAGAGUAAUGGAGGGGGAACCGGAAUUCUCGGUGUAGCAGUGAAAUGCGUAGAUAUCGAGAGGAACACUCGUGGCGAAGGCGGGUUCCUGGACAUUAACUGACGCUGAGGCACGAAGGCCAGGGGAGCGAAAGGGAUUAGAUACCCCAGUAGUC
Molecule: ribosomal RNA, 446 nt
Filed under: uncultured bacterium
Lineage: Bacteria
Description: partial 16S ribosomal RNA
Rfam family: Bacterial small subunit ribosomal RNA
Source: RNAcentral